Molecule: small nucleolar RNA, 138 nt
Organism: Tachyglossus aculeatus (Australian echidna)
Lineage: Eukaryota; Metazoa; Chordata; Mammalia; Monotremata; Tachyglossidae
Source: RefSeq, a predicted model, not a curated record
GACCUUUCAGGAUUCCACCUGGAGAGUUUCCAGUACUCUAUCAGUUUCACCUACAGGAGGAAAAGUCAAGAAGAGGCCUACCCAUUCCAUUCCUAGCUUGGCCAGUGGCUAGUGAGUGGAGGGCAAUCUGCUACAAGU